Populus trichocarpa (black cottonwood) is the source of this 120-nucleotide non-coding RNA. Lineage: Eukaryota; Viridiplantae; Streptophyta; Magnoliopsida; Malpighiales; Salicaceae. The record is from Rfam.
UAGUCUGCAUGGGUCAAAUCAUUUUCUAGUUGUGUUAGAUCCUCACUUGAAUGCGCAGAAUCGUCAGUUUUUAUAAGCCUUAUUGCAUCACAAUCAUAUAUGCCACUCUUCUGAUAGACA